GAAGGUAUAGCUCAGUUGGUAGAGUGUUUGCUUAGCAUGCACAAAGUCCUGGGUUCAAUCUCCAGUACCUUCA
Camelus ferus (Wild Bactrian camel) is the source of this 73-nucleotide transfer RNA. It matches the Rfam family "tRNA". Rfam says of the family: Transfer RNA (tRNA) molecules are approximately 80 nucleotides in length. Lineage: Eukaryota; Metazoa; Chordata; Mammalia; Artiodactyla; Camelidae. The record is from Rfam.